RNAcentral lists this long non-coding RNA (1518 nucleotides) under Nothobranchius furzeri (turquoise killifish). Its description in RNAcentral is "lncRNA (ENSNFUG00015010604.1)". Lineage: Eukaryota; Metazoa; Chordata; Actinopteri; Cyprinodontiformes; Nothobranchiidae. The record is from RNAcentral.
AUGUUUACAUUACAAACCCCAUUUGUAAAAGAAGCCUCUUUGUUGGAGACCAACGAUGUAGAUUGGAAAGAUAAACAGGGAAACCCUCAUGUGUCUAAAGUGUUUGUGCUCCUCUGUAGCUCUGAUUCUGUGGCGCGGGCAUUGCUUCGUAACACAAAGCAAUUUAAUGGUUUUUACGGAUGUGAUUUUUGCUAUCACAAAGACGGCAAAGUAUAUUCAUACACCAGACCGGAACCCCCUCUAUGUAAUGAGAAGGACCAUUUUAGUCAUGCAAUGUCAGCAACAGUGGAUGCACCUGUAUUUGGAGUUGGAUGCCCAUCUCCUUUGAUGAAGCUCAGUUGCUUUCAAAUGGUAAAUGGCUUCAUUCCUGAAUAUCAACACAAUGUGUGCCUUGGCGUCACCCGUCAACUGGCUCGGUGGUUCGAUUCUACAAACAGUGAUGCUUCUUGGUACAUUGGUAAACAGAUUGAAGACGUUGAUUUGGGACUUGAAAAGAUAAAGCCUCCUGUUGAGAGAACAAGAACUCCUAGAUCUAUAAAGGGCAAUACAUUUUGGAAGGCUUCAGAGUGGCAAGCUUUCUUACUUUUUUAUGCCUUGCCAACAUUAAAAGGAAUUCUUCCAGCUAGAUUUUGGAAUAAUCUGUUCCUUUUGGUAUUUAGCAUAUACACACUACUACAAGACAAGAUCCAGACAUGCGCAAUCAUGAAGGCAGAACUGGCACUCAAAACAUGUGUUAUUGACUUUCAGAGACUCUACGGAAAUGACAACAUGACAUUCAAUAUCUAUUUGCUUACCCACGUCCCACAAAGUGUUAAAAACUGGGGGCCAUUAUGGGCUACUUCUACUUUUCCAUUCGAGUCCAAUAUCGGAACUCUCCUUAAGCAUUUUCAUGGGACACAAUCUGUCCCAUUUCAAAUAGUCAGCAGAUUUCUGUUGUGGCGAGAACUUCCAGACAAAGCUAAACAAGCAAUAACAUCUGGAAAUCCAAAAGUUGAGUUAUUUGUUAAAAAACUGUGUUCCUAUGGCCAAAGAACAGAAAAAUGUGUCGUACUUAAUGGAAGUGUCAAGGGUUUUGGCAAUAUUCCUUGGCAGGAAAACAUCCCAGCUUUACAUCGGCUUGCCAUUGGAAAACUAUGUGAAAAUCUAAGUAACUGGUUCUGGUAUGACAUGCGUUUUUUGGUUAACAGGGUUUUGUUUCACAGUCAGAAUUACGAACGGCUGAAUAAAAGGUUCAACAGUGCUGUAUCUUUGAAUGAUGGUAAAUUGUUUUUAAUUAAUGACUUGGUUGUCUUUAAAGAAAAGUGUGCACAGGAAAACCCAGAAUACUGUGCAUGUAUCAAACAUGCUUGUGUCUUUGUAGAGGAGCUGAGUAAAUCCAACAGACCAUUGUGUAAAGAUUCAAAGAUUAAUGUAGAGAGUACUUUCAUUCACGAAGUUAAAAAGACUGGAAAUGUGUGUGCCAUUUGGCCUGAUAUGAUACUAAAGAAAAGUGUUGUUAUUGAAACUGAUGAACUAUGA